AUACGGAGGGUGCGAGCGUUAAUCGGAAUUACUGGGCGUAAAGCGUACGUAGGCGGUUGGUUAAGUUAGAUGUGAAAGCCCCGGGCUUAACCUGGGAACUGCAUUUAAAACUGGCGAACUAGAGUUGAGUAGAGGGGAGUGGAAUUUCAGGUGUAGCGGUGAAAUGCGUAGAGAUCUGAAGGAACACCAGUGGCGGAGGCGACUCCCUGGACUCGAACUGACGCUGAGGUACGAAAGCGUGGGUAGCAAACGGGAUUAGAAACCCGAGUAGUCC
RNAcentral lists this ribosomal RNA (274 nucleotides) under uncultured bacterium. Its description in RNAcentral is "partial 16S ribosomal RNA". It matches the Rfam family "Bacterial small subunit ribosomal RNA", at positions 523 to 796 of the family's 1533-position model. The record is from RNAcentral.